UACGGAGGAUCCAAGCGUUAUCCGGAAUCAUUGGGUUUAAAGGGUCCGUAGGCGGCUGUAUAAGUCAGUGGUGAAAUCCGGCAGCUCAACUGUCGAACUGCCAUUGAUACUGUACAGCUUGAAUUAUUGUGAAGUAACUAGAAUAUGUAGUGUAGCGGUGAAAUGCUUAGAUAUUACAUGGAAUACCAAUUGCGAAGGCAGGUUACUAACAAUACAUUGACGCUGAUGGAUGAAAGCGUGGGUAGCGAACAGG
Molecule: unclassified non-coding RNA, 253 nt
Filed under: uncultured Flavobacteriaceae bacterium
Lineage: Bacteria; Pseudomonadati; Bacteroidota; Flavobacteriia; Flavobacteriales; Flavobacteriaceae
Description: contains 16S-23S intergenic spacer region
Rfam family: Bacterial small subunit ribosomal RNA
Source: RNAcentral